This 474-nucleotide ribosomal RNA is filed under the name uncultured bacterium. RNAcentral describes it as "bacterial SSU rRNA". It matches the Rfam family "Bacterial small subunit ribosomal RNA", at positions 335 to 799 of the family's 1533-position model. The record is from RNAcentral.
ACUCCUACGGGAGGCAGCAGUGGGGAAUAUUGCACAAUGGGCGCAAGCCUGAUGCAGCCAUGCCGCGUGUGUGAAGAAGGCCUUCGGGUUGUAAAGCACUUUCAGUUGUGAGGAAGGUGGUGUCGUUAAUAGCGGCAUCAUUUGACGUUAGCAACAGAAGAAGCACCGGCUAACUCCGUGCCAGCAGCCGCGGUAAUACGGAGGGUGCGAGCGUUAAUCGGAAUUACUGGGCGUAAAGCGCAUGCAGGCGGCCUGUUAAGUCAGAUGUGAAAGCCCGGGGCUUAACCUCGGAAUUGCAUUUGAAACUGGCAGGCUAGAGUCUUGUAGAGGGGGGUAGAAUUUCAGGUGUAGCGGUGAAAUGCGUAGAGAUCUGAAGGAAUACCAGUGGCGAAGGCGGCCCCCUGGACAAAGACUGACGCUCAGAUGCGAAAGCGUGGGGGAGCAAACAGGAUUAGAUACCCUGGUAGCACAGAG